This 841-nucleotide ribosomal RNA is filed under the name uncultured bacterium. Its description in RNAcentral is "bacterial SSU rRNA". It matches the Rfam family "Bacterial small subunit ribosomal RNA", at positions 42 to 883 of the family's 1533-position model. The record is from RNAcentral.
GCAUGCCUAAUACAUGCAAGUCGGUCGGGGCCGCAAGGCCCAGAGGCGAACGGGUGAGUAACACGUGCCCAAUCUGCCCCAAAGAGGGGGACAACCGGUCGAAAGACCAGCUAAUACCCCAUAGGACGUCACUAGCGCAUGCGAAGACGUUUAAAGGCGGGUCAAACCGCCGCUUUGGGAUGAGGGUGCGCCAUAUCAGGUAGUAGGCGGUGUAACGGACCACCUAGCCAAUGACGUGUAGCUGUACUGAGAGGUAGAACAGCCACAAUAGGACUGAGACACGGCCUAUACUCCUACGGGAGGCAGCAGUAGGGAAUUUUUCACAAUGGGCGAAAGCCUGAUGGAGCAAUGCCGCGUGGACGAUGAAGGUCUUCGGAUCGUAAAGUCCUUUUACGGGGGAUGAAUGUUCGCGGCAGGCAAUGGCCGCGAAAUGACCGUACCCCGGGAAUAAGCAAUGGCUAACUAUGUGCCAGCAGCCGCGGUAAUACAUAGAUUGCGAGCGUUAUCCGGAUUUACUGGGCGUAAAGCAAGCGCAGGCUGUCGCGAAAGUCCGGUGUUAAAUGGCGCGGCUCAACCGCGUCAUGCAUUGGAAACCUCGCGACUAGAGAGUGGUAGAGAUUUUCGGAAUUCCAAGUGUAUCGGUGGAAUGAGUAGAUAUUUGGAAGAACACCAGUGGCGAAAGCGGAAAAUUUGGCCAUUUCUGACGCUUAGGCUUGAAAGUGUGGGGAGCAAAUAGGAUUAGAUACCCUAGUAGUCCACACCGUAAACGAUGGGGACUAGUUGUCGGCAAGAUAUUGUCGGUAACGCAGCUAACGCAUUAAGUUCCCCGCCUGGGUAGUAC